CAGCCGCCGCGGGAAUACGAAGGGGGCUAGCGUUGUUCGGAUUUACUGGGCGUAAAGGGCGCGUAGGCGGGCGAAUAAGUCAGGGGUGAAAUCCCAAGGCUCAACCUUGGAGCUGCCUUUGAUACUGUUUGUCUUGAGUUCGAGAGAGGUAAGUGGAACUGCGAGUGUAGAGGUGAAAUUCGUAGAUAUUCGCAAGAACACCAGUGGCGAAGGCGGCUUACUGGCUCGAAACUGACGCUGAGGCGCGAAAGCGUGGGGAGCAAACAGGAUUAGAUACCCGCGUAGUCCCUGUCUCUUAUAC
RNAcentral lists this ribosomal RNA (301 nucleotides) under uncultured bacterium. RNAcentral describes it as "partial 16S ribosomal RNA". It matches the Rfam family "Bacterial small subunit ribosomal RNA", at positions 509 to 807 of the family's 1533-position model. The record is from RNAcentral.